Molecule: ribosomal RNA, 105 nt
Filed under: Nocardia vaccinii
Lineage: Bacteria; Bacillati; Actinomycetota; Actinomycetes; Mycobacteriales; Nocardiaceae
Description: 23S ribosomal RNA
Source: RNAcentral
CGCCCAAUGGCGAAUCAUCUGUGCUAAGCGCCCUGAACUGGCGGGAUCUCCUUCGGGAGACCUAAAAGGGAUGCGCGUGAACCCUGGGUGUAGUAGUCAAGCGAU